Molecule: ribosomal RNA, 508 nt
Filed under: uncultured bacterium
Lineage: Bacteria
Description: partial 16S ribosomal RNA
Rfam family: Bacterial small subunit ribosomal RNA
Source: RNAcentral
GAUGAACGCUAGCUACAGGCUUAACACAUGCAAGUCGAGGGGAAACGAUAUUGGAAGCUUGCUUCCGAUAGGCGUCGACCGGCGCACGGGUGAGUAACGCGUAUCCUACCUGCCCACCACUUGGGGAUAACCUUGCGAAAGUAAGACUAAUACCCAAUGAUAUCUCUAGAAGACAUCUGAAGGAGAUUAAAGAUUUAUCGGUGAUGGAUGGGGAUGCGUCUGAUUAGCUUGUUGGCGGGGUAACGGCCCACCAAGGCGACGAUCAGUAGGGGUCCUGAGAGGAAGGUCCCCCACAUUGGAACUGAGAUACGGUCCAAACUCCUACGGGAGGCAGCAGUGAGGAAUAUUGGUCAAUGGGCGAGAGCCUGAACCAGCCAAGUAGCGUGCAGGAUGACGGCCCUAUGGGUUGUAAACUGCUUUUAUAAGGGAAUAAAGUGAGCCUCGUGAGGCUUUUUGCAUGUACCUUAUGAAUAAGGACCGGCUAAUUCCGUGCCAGCCGCCGCAGUAA